Long non-coding RNA from Triplophysa rosa, 3414 nucleotides. RefSeq lists it as uncharacterized. Lineage: Eukaryota; Metazoa; Chordata; Actinopteri; Cypriniformes; Nemacheilidae. The record is from RefSeq and is a predicted model, not a curated record. The transcript has 3 exons.
UAUUUAUUUUUAUAUUUAUUUAUUAUCGCAUGUAUUUAUUUCCACUUUUAUUUAUUUAUUCUUGUAUUUAUUUUUACUUUUCUGUGUCUUGUAUGAUAAUUAGAUGGGUUGGUCUUGCCUACUAUUGGUUCAGCGUAGAUUGAAGCGUUUGAUCGAUUACUCUUGACUUGUUUUGGACUAACGUCACGUCACUUUGCAGGUUUAGUCCUCCAUACAUAUUACAUAGCCUACCCAGCACUUGAUUCAUCCUCGUAAACCACUUGCUAAAACGCUCCCAUACGGAACUUUUCUUUUCCUUCCUUUUUUUGUUUUUAAUUCCCCCUUUUUAAUUUUCUCAAGGAUCUGUUUCGCUUCCAUUUCUGCUUUAAGAAAUGGACCCCCCUCUACCGCAGCCACGCGCGUAUUUCUUUUAAAUGAUUGCAAAUUAGCAUCUGCCUGAUGGAAAAUGCAUUUAAAACACAUUCGUAUUUCAGAGAAAUGCAGUUAAUAUUUGUAUCAUUAAUGACUGAUCUCACCCAUCCGCAAUUAAUCAGAAUGUAUUUUUUUAUUACCCGACCCACCCGACCCGCGGAUGUAACCGCCAUCCGCGCAUCACUACUGUGCAGAUGUGUAGUUUCAGUUAAAAAUACAGAGAAACAUUUUAUUAUUGUACGUUUUCUUUAUUGCUAUAUAAUUGCUUCUUUACUUUUAUAUUAUUACACUAUUCCUAACCCUCCAGCUUGUGUUUGUUAUUAUUUUUGUCAUGCUAUAGUGUAAUAUAAAGAUCUUUAUAGAGAUAUUUUUUGUCUAAUAUUACAGUGUAUAAUUAAUUGUAUUGUUGUUAACAUUAUUUUAACAUUAGACAAUUUUAUCUGACUCCCAUUGAUAAAAAUACCUCGAUUUGAUCAUAAUGUUUCAUAAUAAUCGUGCAAUUUGGGUCAAAGUUUGAUUCUCCUGCUUUACUCUAAAUUAUACUCGUUCAUUCUAUUCUAUACGCUUGUCUAUAGUAGCACUAUAGGCUGGUCCCCUUAACACAUUACUACAUUUACUUUAUUUAGGCUAGUCCCCUUAGUCUACGAACACGACUCAUUAUUUCUAACCAGAGGUCAUGACCACUCCACAGAGAUAAACAGACAAACCUUGCUCUCUCUAAUGGCAGAUUCUUCAUAGAUCUCUGUAUUUUCAUGUGUAUUUUCAGGUAUAUUAUAUAGAAAAUAAUUUGCUUGUUAUGUAGUUAUAAAGACUAUAUCUGCUGUAAAUGGAUAAAUAAAUAAAAGCACAUAUGCUCUUAUUUUGAAGUUAAAGAGAGAUGUUGUUAUUAAAGUAUGUUUGUGUUAAAUUUAAUGAUAAAGCCUCCACAUUUGUACACAGCUGUACUAUCAGCUCAAUUUUACAGAUUUACACUCUUAAAAAUAAAGGUCCUUAAAGGGCUAGUUCUUCCAAAAAUAAAAAAAUUCUGUCAUCAUUUACUCACCCUCAGGUUGCUUCAAACCUGUAUAAAUUUCUGUUAAACACAAAACAUGUAUGUGUAAGAAUGUUAGCAAUUGUUUAUUUUAACAUUCUUAACUCACUUUCCUUCGCCCUUUGGAUAUUAUUAUUAUUAGCCAGCCGAUUUGAACUAAGCAAACGCUGCCUAUAGUUUUACUUGACUGUCCCUGGAAGUAACGUAAGCUAACAUAACGUAAGCACUGCCUUUAACUUUUCCUUUGUUAAAUUGAGUCACCCCGAAACACCUCCGUUGUCGACAGUUGCAGCGCGUUUCUGUGUUUGUUUGUGUUGCGAGGAUUUGCAGGGCAUGUAGGAAAUAGUAGGAGAAAAAUACAAUGGUAGUCAAAAGUGCCACAGAACUGUUUGCUGUCCUACAUUCUUCCAAAUAUCUUAUUUUGUGUCCAACCUAACAAAAAAUGAUAAAGUAAUUUUUCCCACUAUGGGAGUCAAUGGGGGGCAAAAUCUGUUUGGUUAUAAGCAUUCUUUCAAAUAUCUUUCUCUGUGUUCAUCAGAACAAAGACAUUUAUACAGAUUUGGAACAACUCGAAGGUGAGUAAAUGAUGACACAAUUUUCAUAUUUGGGUGAAGCAUCCCUUUAAGCGAGACUAUUUGCAGUCCCUUAGUCCCUUGCAGUUAGUAUAAAUAUGUGACCCAGUCUGUGAAAACCCAGCUAGUGAUUUACUGUUUUCUACAUAAAAUCAUCCUAUAACAUCCCAAAUAAUGUAAAGAAUGUUCUGUGAAAACAUAAUCUUUAAACCUUAAAUAAUGACACAUAAGCCCAUGUAAAAGUACAUUUUUUAAAUCAAACAUUAAUGCUCACUUUAGCCUGGUUUUCACAGGCAGGGUCACAUGUGUACACCCUACUAACACUCUUGACUGUGCAUACACACACUUUGAAACGCAUGAAAUCAAUGCAAGGGUUUAUAGUUGGAGACCCUUGCUUUUACAGUUGUGCAGACUCUGUGUAUUUGUGCAUUUUGUUUAUCAUGUGAGACGGUGCUGUUUUUUUACACUGAAACACGUCUUUACAUGUCUAGUAAUUCCAAAGACUCAGUGAACCGCAGUGAAUUCAAAACUAAAGCUGAACAUAGGGACACCUUCCUAAAGGUAUCAGAUUUAUUCAAGAUCAAAAAAAAUUGACACGCCUUUGAUGAAAAGUAAAAGCAUUGCUCACAGACGUAGCAUUUCUACAACAAUCCUCAAGUUUUUCUUCUGUGUUUUGUUAAAGUAAAGCAGGUUCAGAAAGAUGUACCAAGUUUUCUUUCCUCAAAAGGGAAAUCUAAGACCAUUAGAUGUGGCAGCUUCAAGAGAAGAAUUCGACAACACCACCAUUCUGGCGUUAAAGACAAAAAUUUGCACUGCACUAGUUGGAGAGCCGAGAGGCAUGAAUAACCUUACAGUGUAUUUUGAGGAAACAUCUUUAAAAAAUGAUCAAACACUUGGCUUUUAUAAUAUUCAACCUUCAUCGACUCUUGGAUUAGGUUAUUGGGAGCUCCAUUCACUAGUGCUGCCUAUUGAUGAUGAUGAUCGUUUGCCCCGGGCGGAUUCUCUGGAAUUGUUAAAGCUUAACAUGUAGCUCUGUGACAUUCGCUUGGACUUGAGAAGAAACAAGGUGGACAAAAUCUAAAUCUAAAAAAUCUAAAAAAUAUUACACAAUUCAAACAUGUUCUGUCUGUCUGUUCACUGCAAUGAGAUUGUUGUUUCUGUCUAAUGUUUGAGGUUUUUCUCCCUGUGUGUUUCAAUGGUUUGCUUUAAUUUGAACAGACAUUGAUCAGGUUUAUGAAUGAUAUGCCAUAUAAAAGAGACAGAAAGAUAAAACCCAUUCUAGGCAGAGACACGUAACAUCUAUAACAGUGAUCUAUAACAUUUUAGUGUCUCAGUGUGUAACAUUGUCAAUAAACACCAAAUCUCAUGAUACCGUCAGGCAAACACAUAUUUGUAACAUGA